UCAGACGAUGCGUCAUGCAUAUCAAUAAGCGGAGGAAAAGAAACUAACAAGGAUUCCCCUAGUAACGGCGAGUGAAGCGGGAAGAGCUCAAAUUUGAAAUCUUAAAGGGUUUCCCUUUACGAAUUGUAGUUUAAAGAAGUGUUUUCUGUUGAGGUUUUGGUAAAAGUUCUUUGGAAUAGGACAUCAUAGAGGGUGAGAAUCCCGUAUUUGACCUUUACUUUCAACUUUGUGAUACACUUUCAAAGAGUCGGAUCGUUUGGGAAUGCAGUCCAAAAUGGGUGGUAAAUUUCAUCUAAAGCUAAAUAUUGGCGAGAGACCGAUAGCGAACAAGUACCGUGAGGGAAAGAUGAAAAGAACUUUGAAAAGAGAGUUAAACAGUACGUGAAAUUGUCAAAAGGGAAGCGUUUGACACCAGUGUUGUUUUUCUGAAAAUCAAUUAAAGAACUGUUUAUGCUAAGUUGUUUAGACUUUAUCAGCUAACUGUUUAGUUUUGAGCUUUUCUUUAAUGCACUUUUCAGUUAACAAGUCAACAUCAAUUUCUUUUGCUGUAAAAAAGCUUGAGGAAGGUGGCUUGAGAUUCGUCUUAAGUGUUUAUAGCCUCUUGCCUAUGCAGUCGGAGAGAUUGAGGUCUGCAGCGUAGAUCCUUCGGGGCUAAAUGCAUUUGUGCUAAGUUAUAGCAUUCUAUAGACAACUUGUUGACUAUGAUUUGUCUUGUAGCUUACUCGCUUAUGUUAUUUUACCUACGCUUAGGAUGUUGAGCGCAUGUCUCUCUCU
Molecule: ribosomal RNA, 774 nt
Filed under: uncultured Neocallimastigales
Lineage: Eukaryota; Fungi; Neocallimastigomycota; Neocallimastigomycetes; Neocallimastigales
Description: partial large subunit ribosomal RNA
Rfam family: Eukaryotic large subunit ribosomal RNA
Source: RNAcentral